GAAUUGGGUACUAAGUGUAAUCUGACAUUACAGACACAAGCAAUCCUGGUUGUUUCAACAGAGCUAUUUGUGAGUUCAGAAUUUAACAAACUCUCAAGAAGUUUGCUGAGCUGGCAACUAAGAAUCAAUAACCCGCUGCCUCCAAAAGUGGAUGUUCUUAAUGAAACAGAAUCAGAAAAUAGAAAAAAGCAUCACCCAGUGGAGGGUAGGUAAAAAGGAAAAAGCAAAGGGAGGGAGAAAAGAGUAGAAUCAUCCUUCCCUUGCUACUCAUUCCCUUUUACUCAAAGUAUUACAAGAUUUUUACAGAAAUAUUUCAAACAAAGCUCCUAAUUUUUGUACUGUAUUCCCGUGCCCUUCAAACUGCUACCAAAGUGAAUGUCUUGAUUGCUUAUAUUGUGAUCAUUUCAUUACAGAGUACAUUUUUGAUGAAGAUUUACUUUAGCUACCAGCGACUGUUUUACAAGGCUCUGAUCUGUCAGCAUGUGCAUUGUGCUCAGGCUGAGCCAAGACCACACCUCAAGGACAUUUUUAGGCACAAGGCUGAAGGUAAUACAUCCACAAUGGCAGCCUCUGUCUAACUGUUUGCUCGGUAUGGAUUCAGUUUGUGUGACGUCUGAUAAACAUCUAAGCCUUUGUCAAAAUGAAUAGAUCUAUUAACAGGGCUAAAAUGACGAUGAUUCUCAACCUUUGCAGAACUCAAGGACAAAGGAGCUUUUCCAGUUAGAAGGAGCACUACGUCUGCUACCAGCAGCCAGUGAUGUCACAAGCAUGGAUAGACAUGGAGGAUCUUGAAGAAAUACAACAUCAAACAAGUUUCAGUGAAAUAAGCAACUACCACUGCCCCACUUCCCCCAGUGUGUGCAAAAAUGGCUUCACUGAGUCUGAUGCAGAACAGUUUUUAAGUUUUGUGAAUUUUGGCGGGAGUUCAGCAGACUUCAGCUAUUCUGCAGUGUACUUUGAGCCUGGAGAGCUGAGAAGAGGACAGAUUAGAGUAGUUCACAUAGUCUUUCGAUCAGUUGAUGUCUUCCUUGUUACCAGGUAAGUCUCUUACUGAUUAUUUAAAUCAAUCUUACAGUGCAGUAAUUUCAUUAUAAACAAAGAUUUGGCCGACGCUCUGCACAAUAAGGUCUGUACAUUUAAUGUGAUUAGGCAGUCUGUCAGAGCAAGUACUCCCAUGAGAUGCACAUUUUAUUAUGUUUCCUCUGCUACUUAGCUUUUUUUGGUGGGUCUCCAACAGAACAACAGAGUAGAAGUUUCUUCUCUUUUCCAGGAUGUGAUUCAACAGUGGCUGUAAUGAUUUUAGUAUUCCAGUAUUAUCUUCUGUGGGUCAGUUCUUCCUCUUGUGGAAAGGCACAUGUGCAUCUGUGCUAUCUGAUGGCUUACUAAAGAGCGUAUGCUUUUUUGUGGCACUCCUUCUCCCUCAAGUCCACUGUUCCUUUCACAAAUGUGGUGGCAUAGAUGAAUUCUUCAGAAAAGAAUGUUAAGAGCAGAUCUAAUAAAAGAAUGGUAAACUGACCUGGUAAAAGGCUA
This 1530-nucleotide long non-coding RNA is filed under the name Numida meleagris (helmeted guineafowl). RNAcentral describes it as "lncRNA (ENSNMEG00000011456.1)". The record is from RNAcentral. Lineage: Eukaryota; Metazoa; Chordata; Aves; Galliformes; Numididae.